AGCCCGCUCAGAAACUCAAAGGAAUUGACGGGGCCCGCACAAGCGGAGGAGCAUGUGGUUUAAUUCGAUGAUACGCGAGGAACCUUACCUGGGCUCGAACGUAAGAUGACUGUAGGUGAAAGCUUACAUCUCUUCGGAGCAUUUUACGAGGUGCUGCAUGGUUGUCGUCAGCUCGUGCCGUGAGGUGUCGGGUUAAGUCCCAUAACGAGCGCAACCCCUACCUUUAGUUGCCAUCAGGUAAUGCUGGGGACUCUAAAGGAACUGCCUACGCAAGUAGUGAGGAAGGCGGGGAUGACGUCAAAUCAGCACGGCCCUUACGUCCAGGGCUACACACGUGCUACAAUGGCCGAUACAGAGGGCAGCUACCUGGUGACAGGAUGCAAAUCUCCAAAGUCGGUCUCAGUUCGGAUCGGAGUCUGCAACCCGACUCCGUGAAGUUGGAUUCGCUAGUAAUCGCGCAUCAGCCAUGGCGCGGUGAAUACGUUCCCGGGCCUU
RNAcentral lists this ribosomal RNA (495 nucleotides) under uncultured Sphingobacteriales bacterium. RNAcentral describes it as "bacterial SSU rRNA". It matches the Rfam family "Bacterial small subunit ribosomal RNA", at positions 886 to 1382 of the family's 1533-position model. The record is from RNAcentral. Lineage: Bacteria; Pseudomonadati; Bacteroidota; Sphingobacteriia; Sphingobacteriales.